UCAGGACGAACGGCUGGCGGCGUGCCUAAUACAUGCAAGUCGAGCGAACAGAGAGGGAGCUUGCUCCUCGACGUAGCGGCGGACGGGUGAGUAACACGUGGGCAACCUACCUUAUAGUUUGGGAUAACUCCGGGAAAACCGGGGCUAAUACCGAAUAAUCUGUUUCACCUCAUGGUGAAACACUGAAAGACGGUUUCGGCUGUCGCUAUAGGAUGGGCCCGCGGCGCAUUAGCUAGUUGGUGAGGUAACGGCUCACCAAGGCGACGAUGCGUAGCCGACCUGAGAGGGUGAUCGGCCACACUGGGACUGAGACACGGCCCAGACUCCUACGGGAGGCAGCAGUAGGGAAUCUUCCACAAUGGGCGAAAGCCUGAUGGAGCAACGCCGCGUGAGUGAAGAAGGAUUUCGGUUCGUAAAACUCUGUUGUAAGGGAAGAACAAGUACAGUAGUAACUGGCUGUACCUUGACGGUACCUUAUUAGAAAGCCACGGCUAACUACGUGCCAGCCGCAGC
Molecule: ribosomal RNA, 513 nt
Filed under: uncultured bacterium
Lineage: Bacteria
Description: bacterial SSU rRNA
Rfam family: Bacterial small subunit ribosomal RNA
Source: RNAcentral